UGACCUCGGAUCAGUAGACCCAUUA
This 25-nucleotide ribosomal RNA is filed under the name Gymnascella dankaliensis. Its description in RNAcentral is "Gymnoascus dankaliensis partial 28S ribosomal RNA". The record is from RNAcentral. Lineage: Eukaryota; Fungi; Ascomycota; Eurotiomycetes; Onygenales; Gymnoascaceae.